GAGAGCGCGCGCCGGUCCUGGCCUCGCCUUUAUAAAUCCUGGUCCGGGGACGCGCCCAAUAACCCGUCGCGCGCGCCAGCCGCCGCGCGCACGCGCCCCUAGGGGCCCUCCAAUUGGCCGGCGAGCUGCGGGGCCCGCCCUCGCCGUGCACGGAUUGGUCGCCCAUGCCAGGCCCGGCCCCGGAGUCGGAAACGCUACGGAGUCCUUCCUCGCCCUCAUCCAGGAUUGGCCGCGGCGCUCGCGCUCGCUCCGCUCUCCAGAUUUUGAUUGGCUCCGAGCGGAGAACUUUCUCUCCCUCGACUUCUGACUGGUGAUAUUCAUCCACACCUUUCGCGGUUCUGGAAUGGCUACUUCUUUCGGCUGUCGGGGCUCUGUGGCUUCUGAUUGGCCGAGAUUCGCGCGCACCCUGCGCGUCCCUCCGUCGAACGUGGCAGUGAGGCGGAGUCCCGGGUCGGGGCGGAGCUGCGCCUGCGCCUCCGAAACCCCUCGUGUUGCAUUCUGACUGGACCGCGUGUCCGUAACGGGCACCGCCCCCGGACUGCCGGCCGGAAGCCUGGCUGACGCAAUUUCCGUCGCGCGUGCGGCCCGUGCAGCGCCUGCAGAGGCGUGGGGUCCGACAGUUUUUGGCGGACACAACAUCUUUGUAUGUGGCGCUGAGGAUCGAACACGGGCCGCACGCAUGCCAGGAGAGUGCGCUACCGCUUGAGCCACAUCCCCAGCCCCCAGAGACUUGUUCUUGAGAGUGUGCAUCUCACCUUUCCUGCGUGGCACUCCACUUGGAGUGUGAGUUCCUUGCCUUCAAGACCCAGUGCUACCUUCAUGUAGCUCAUACCUGAAACUGCUGCAACUGUGGAAGCCGAAACCCAUAUUGCAAGAUGGAGACCAGCAUGGGUCUUUCCCAGGUUCCCAGGUGUGACAUUUCAGGCCUGGCGGACUAUGAACCAGUGUCGCGCCCCAGUUCAAUAGGAUUGACCAGGUGCUUUUCCACUGAAUUGCAGCUCUUCAUAAUGCCACUGUGGGGUGAUGACUGCUUCAGAUCCGAUGAACUGGUCUAUUUUUGUGCUUGCCUUGACUUGUUUUACAAACCAAGAUUUGGGGCCCAAGACAAAAGACUUGAGUUCAGAUUUUCUAACUGUGGAGGUUAGUAUUUUGUCCAUUGAUGGGAAGUGAAGGGAUUUAGGGUACUGUUGUGGAUUAGCUCGUGAUGGUUUGAAGGCAUCUUAGUUCCAGAACAUAAACUAUGAAGAAGAAAUGUGCACAUCUACAUCACCAGAAACAAGCAGAGGCCACUGCAGGUGCACAGAUCAGACAAGGAUCAAAGUAGCUUAGACUCUACCGUCUAAGGUGGGCUCUGGGCCUACAGUGGCUCGUGCCAAGGGCAGUUGAACACGCUUCAGUUUGGGGAACUGCCCAGCCAGAGUAGCAGAGAGCAGGGCUGCUGUUCUGUGGCCUAGGUGGCUGUGGCUAAGUUGAUGUUCUAUGAAAAUCAGGGCAUCCAGCAGCACUCCCCCCAGGUGAUCAUGCUGCCAUGGCUACCCUGGCAGCUAGCUCUUGCUGGUACCUUGUCCUUCCUGAAUCAGCCUUCUUCAACUUAAGCAGGUACAGCAAAGUUGGUUCUUAUGAGCCCCGCAGGAGGCCUGAGAGACCCCUGGGCACCCACAGUGCAUUCUACUUCCCUGGAUAUAGGCCACCCUGUCUGAAUACCUGUAGGCCUCAGCCCAGAGCAGAGGGCUGAUGAGAUGGGUCACUCAUCCUGUGCUCAGGCCUUCAAGGAGUAUGUCCUUGGGGUCGGCCUUCCCUGGGGCAGUGACUGGCCAUAUAGGUGCUUCUGGACAUCUUCCAGGGAGUGUCACACUCAGAGUAUGUUACCUGUUAAACAUGGUUUCCUGCUGAGUCAACAUGUUUUGAUUACUAUUACCCUCUCUGGAUACAGUGGUGCACAACUGUAAUCCCAGGGACUUAGGAACCUGAAGUAGGUGAUGGCAAAUUCCAGGCCAGCCUGGGCAAUUUAGUGAGACCUGAUCUCAAAAUAAUCAGAAGGGUUGUGAGGUAGCUAAGUGGUCAGUGCUCCUGGGCUUAAUUCCCAGUACUGAGGGGAAAAAGCUACUUUCAACCACCCCCUCCCUGGCGUGUGUGUGUGUGUUACUGGUGAGUGAAUUAAGGGCCUUGUAUAUGCUGGGCAAGCACUCUGCUACUAAGCUGAGUUACAUUCCCAGCCUCAAAUAUACUUGCACGCACAAGGCCCUGUAUUUGAUCCCCAGCGCUACCAAAAAAAAAAAAAAAAAAAGCAAGCGUUCUUAGAACACAGCUUCCUUUAGCCUGCACCUGCUAUCCUGCUAGAUGUGUAAAGGGGUCACCAGCAAGUUCAUGGGCACCUAGAGGGCUACUGGCUGCAGGUUUUUGCUGUAUUAGGCUUCUGUGCCCAAUUCUGAGACAGGCGUGCGGGAGAGAGCAGGGCAGUGGUGGUAAAUCAGUACCUGGCGAUUGCUUGGUCACAUCUAGAUCCUGACCUCAGCUGGCACCAGUUAUGGCCUCUUCACAGAAGAAGGGCCUGUCUGUGGAUGCUGAGGAGGUGGAAGCUUGGGGAUUUCUGGGGCCUGUGGAUAAAGGGAGGUGAGAAGAGGGCAUGGGUUGUGGACCUGGGAGGCCAGCCUUGGAGCAGCAUCAAGCUGUACAACAGGUCAGGGUGGGACCAGGAGGAUCAGGUUAGACUUGGGACUUGAGACACGUCAUGCACCUUCUGCAAGUGCAACUUUGUUAUCCUCCCCUAGGAGCUCGAGCAAAGUCUUGGCUGUUGGCCAUGUGCCUGUACAACUUGGCACUCAGGGUCUGAGUUCACAUGUCUAACAAGCUUGGAAAACCCCAGAGCAAAAAGAUCAAGCCUCUUGGCCUGAUGUGAGCCUCAGAAGUCCUUGCCCAAUAAACAACUGCUGGCAAUAAGA
Long non-coding RNA from Marmota monax (woodchuck), 2942 nucleotides. RefSeq lists it as uncharacterized. The transcript is spliced from 2 exons. The record is from RefSeq and is a predicted model, not a curated record. Lineage: Eukaryota; Metazoa; Chordata; Mammalia; Rodentia; Sciuridae.